RNAcentral lists this ribosomal RNA (396 nucleotides) under uncultured Filosa. RNAcentral's name for it is "partial small subunit ribosomal RNA". It matches the Rfam family "Eukaryotic small subunit ribosomal RNA", at positions 30 to 432 of the family's 1831-position model. Lineage: Eukaryota; Cercozoa. The record is from RNAcentral.
GCUUGUCUCAAAGAUUAAGCCAUGCACGUCUGAGAAUAAAGAGUUUUCUCUGAAUCUGCGAAUGGCUCAUUAUAUCAGUUAUAGUUUAUUUGAUGGUGACUUACUACAUGGAUAACCGUAGUAACCUAGAGCUAAUACAUGCACAAAAUCCCGACUUCACGGAAGGGAUGUAUUUAUUAGAUAAAAAACCAAUCCGGCAACGGUGCUUGGUGAUUCAUAAUAACUGUUCGAAGCGCACGGCCUCGCGCCGGCGCUAGUUCAUUCAAAUUUCUGCCCUAUCAGCUUUCGACGGUAGUGUAGUGGACUACCGUGGCGCUAACGGGUGACGGAGAAUUAGGGUUCGGUUCCGGAGAGGGAGCCUGAGAAACGGCUACCACAUCCAAGGAAGGCAGCAGG